UGGGUGUGACUGCGUACCUUUUGUAUAAUGGGUCAGCGACUUAUAUUCUGUAGCAAGGUUAACCGAAUAGGGGAGCCGGAGGGAAACCGAGUCUUAAUUGGGCGUUAAGUUGCAGGGUAUAGACCCGAAACCCGGUGAUCUAGCCAUGGGCAGGUUGAAGGUUGGGUAACACUAACUGGAGGACCGAACCGACUAAUGUUGAAAAAUUAGCGGAUGACCUGUGGCUGGGGGUGAAAGGCCAAUCAAACCGGGAGAUAGCUGGUUCUCCCCGAAAGCUAUUUAGGUAGCGCCUCGUGAAUUCAUCUCCGGGGGUAGAGCACUGUUUCGGCUAGGGGGCCAUCCCGGCUUACCAACCCGAUGCAAACUGCGAAUACCGGAGAAUGUUAUCACGGGAGACACACGGCGGGUGCUAACGUCCGUCGUGAAGAGGGAAACAACCCAGACCGCCAGCUAAGGUCCCAAAGUCAUGGUUAAGUGGGAAACGAUGUGGGAAGGCCCAGACAGCCAGGAUGUUGGCUUAGAAGCAGCCAUCAUUUAAAGAAAGCGUAAUAGCUCACUGGUCGAGUCGGCCUGCGCGGAAGAUGUAACGGGGCUAAACCAU
RNAcentral lists this ribosomal RNA (601 nucleotides) under Salmonella enterica. RNAcentral's name for it is "partial 23S ribosomal RNA". It matches the Rfam family "Bacterial large subunit ribosomal RNA", at positions 588 to 1190 of the family's 2925-position model. The record is from RNAcentral. Lineage: Bacteria; Pseudomonadati; Pseudomonadota; Gammaproteobacteria; Enterobacterales; Enterobacteriaceae.